GAUUGAUUGAAAUCUAAUCAUACUAUUACUAAAACUAUAUGCAGAAUCAAAACUACCAAAAGGUCCAAAUUCGGAGCAUUAAAAGUUCCAUCGGUCUAAUUGGACUUUGGCUUCCGCCAUGUCUUUCUGUGCCUUCUUCCUCCGGUAAAAUAUUGGGCAAUCUCGGCUACAACACAACCAUUAACAACCAUCAAUCUUAGUAUCUUACCAUCCACAAAUAUAUAUACACACACACACACACACACUCAUGAACCAGUAGUGAUCUGAAAAUGUAAGGAGCACCUUGUGCAUAAGACAUCUUGAUGAAGAGAUCCUUGACACUCUUGGCAUUGUGUCCACAGCCUCCCAAAAAGCUUCUCUAGCUCCGAUACUUGCGGAAACAAAGAAAACUGUGAGCAAAGUGUUUGAUCUUUAUUACUGCAAGCAAACACAACCAUUCGAUCCAUUUGCCCAUAAGAAAUAAAAAAACUAGAAGUCAUUUGGGUUGUUGGUAGGUACCUGAUUAAGGCUUUGCAGCCAACGCAACUUAGCUGCUUCUUCGCAAACUUCAUUAUCCCACUGUUUGACGGAGUAGAUAUGGAGAUAGCUCUAGUGUGGCUCCCGUGAAGAAGUUCUCUACUGGCGUUCUUCAAAAUGGGGUCAAAUAUCCUCAACAGUGGCUGCAUCGCAAACCAUCAACAGUCUCAGGUACAGCUUUGAUAAUGACAUAUGGUACUCGGUCUCCAACAUUUGGAGCAGUUGCUGCAUCUCGCUGUAGUAAAUAUAAUACAACAAUGUGAUGAUAUAGCUUGGUUAACAAGUUAUAAUGCUAAAAGAUAACUAACUAUUAACCUUUCUCAUUCGCUCUGCAAGUUCAACAUGUGCUGCCUUUACAUCAUAAUCCUCUCCGGAUUUCGUCAGUCCCUUGGUAAUAACCAAAAGAGACAAAUCCAUGCGAUUCAUAAGCAGAUCUGAAAUGGUAUUUUUGACGUAUUGAACGGCUCCAGGUAUGUCUCUGUCUAUUAGUAUUUUGUUAAGGCACUCCGUUACCAGGUUUUUUACUAACAGACAGUUGUCCCUUCUAACUGUUUCAAUACCUGAAGAAAAAAAAAAAAAAAAAACUCAAAUGGGCAAGAAAAAACAUAUUUUGAAGAGAAAAAUGGUCUUUUUAUAUGCUUUAGCUAACCUUUUGUAUCCAUUUUGUCAAAUUUGUCGGGAUUUGUCCAGUAGAGGCCAGCAUACCUCUUUUUGCUGAUCAGCAGGUACGGGAAAUAUACCUUUUCGAAUUCUAGUUUAAUAGGCUUUGCAAAACAAACAAUCACGCAAGGAAAAAUCAGAACGUGAAUAUAUUAACAUCAGACUAUAUUAAACGAAUGAAAUUUGCACUUGUUGUUAUGAGUCAACUUACCUUGAUGAAAGUCCCACUAAUGUAAUCAGCAGCUUCCCUACCCAGCUUCAUGGCGUCAUCAACAGUUUGCACACCGAAUUGCACCAUAACAGAAUCUGUAUCCCCAUAUAUUACCUCAGCAUUAUGUUCGAAGCCAUUAAGUGUUGUGAAUUUAUCUUCGACGAGUUUUUUUGUAUGUUCGAUCAUCUGUCGGCCUUCAAAAAUCAAUCAAGUUAGUUAUUACCAUAAUAGAAUAUUCAUUUGAGCUACAUGCACAUGAACGCAUAUUACCAUAGCUUGUAACACUUGAGGAUAUCUCUAAGCAUGGUAACUGGCCAAUCGUAGCUCCUGUAAACCCAUACACUGAAUUUGCACUUAUCUGCACAUGAUGAAUAAAUGUUAAUAAUACUAAGGAAAGUAAUUAACUAAGGAAAAAAACACAAAGAGGAAUUACCUUCAAAGCCAGCUGGCGACCGUCCAAUACAGCCUUCACUAGGGGAUCCUUUGCCUCCUGAAACCCAACCAACUCAUUAUUGUAUAAGCAUAAUACUUAUAAUACUAGAUAAUGUGCUGCACAAUGAAAAAUCUAUG
Molecule: long non-coding RNA, 1957 nt
Filed under: Helianthus annuus (common sunflower)
Lineage: Eukaryota; Viridiplantae; Streptophyta; Magnoliopsida; Asterales; Asteraceae
Description: hypothetical non coding rna
Source: RNAcentral